CUGUACGCCGUACGUGAAUAUAUCGAUCUAUCUGUAUGAAUACAGUAUAUGUAUCUACAUAUACAUAUAUAGGUAUCAUAAAAACGUUAUGUCAUGUUUAUCACAUAUCAAAUCUCUUUUCAUUCACAGAUGUCGUCACCCACCUGUGUGACGUUCAUUUAACUCAGAGUGAUACAGGUAAAAAGAUUUCAUUAUUCGAGCAAUAAUGCGACCAACUUUUGAAGACGGUGGCGUACACGCGGAUCCGACUGCGGUGCUCCCUUCAAUAGAUACCAGUCUAGCCACGGAUGCUUUAUAGGAAUUAUUACCCAUCUGGGUGACGUUCAUUUAACGCAGAGUGAUACAGGUGAAAAUAGCCAAAUGCGGGAGCAGUACGGUGCGACAUGUUAGUUUUGUAGUGUGCAUUUUGUGUUUAGCAUUUUUAAAAAUGCUAAUUAAAAAAAAAAAAAAAAAAAAAAAAAAACUAUUCAAAACCAGGCAACAAGUGUAGAAAUAAUUGAAUGUUUUAACUCUUUAAAAGUUGCACCAAAGGAUAAAAACAAAUAUCAUAGUUUGUAUUGUCAGGAUGAAUCAACCAAUUAUGCAUGCAUUACGCAAUUACCUUCACCUUCACCUUCUUCUACCGCUUAUCGGGGUCGGGUUGUGGAGGCAGCAUUUGGGGCAGGGAAGCCCAAACUUCCCGGUCCGCACAAACCUCCUCCAGCUCCUCCCGGGGGAUCCCAGGCGUUCCCAGGCCAGACCGGAGAAUUAAUCUCUCCUUCAGAUCUUCAGAUAUUGUAUUUUCAUAUUUUUUUCACAA
Synchiropus splendidus (mandarinfish) is the source of this 799-nucleotide long non-coding RNA. RefSeq lists it as uncharacterized. The record is from RefSeq and is a predicted model, not a curated record. NCBI's taxonomy places the organism in Eukaryota, Metazoa, Chordata, Actinopteri, Syngnathiformes, Callionymidae. The transcript has 3 exons.